GACGAACGCUGGCGGCGUGCUUAACACAUGCAAGUCGAACGGAAAGGCUCCAGCUUGCUGGAGUACUCGAGUGGCGAACGGGUGAGUAACACGUGGGUAAUCUGCCCUGCACUCUGGGAUAAGCCUGGGAAACUGGGUCUAAUACUGGAUAUGACCUUUCUCCUUAUGGGGUUUGGUGGAAAGUUUUUCGGUGUAGGAUGAGCCCGCGGCCUAUCAGCUUGUUGGUGGGGUGAUGGCCUACCAAGGCGACGACGGGUAGCCGGCCUGAGAGGGUGAUCGGCCACAUUGGGACUGAGAUACGGCCCAGACUCCUACGGGAGGCAGCAGUGGGGAAUAUUGCACAAUGGGCGGAAGCCUGAUGCAGCGACGCCGCGUGAGGGAUGACGGGCCUUUCGGGUUGUAAAACCUCCUUUCAAGCCAGGGGACG
This 427-nucleotide ribosomal RNA is filed under the name Actinomycetales bacterium oral taxon C05. RNAcentral describes it as "bacterial SSU rRNA". It matches the Rfam family "Bacterial small subunit ribosomal RNA", at positions 28 to 451 of the family's 1533-position model. Lineage: Bacteria; Bacillati; Actinomycetota; Actinomycetes; Actinomycetales. The record is from RNAcentral.